Molecule: long non-coding RNA, 249 nt
Organism: Myripristis murdjan (pinecone soldierfish)
Lineage: Eukaryota; Metazoa; Chordata; Actinopteri; Holocentriformes; Holocentridae
Exons: 3
Source: RefSeq, a predicted model, not a curated record
CAAUGUGAGGGGUUUACAGAUCCAGAUUAUCAGGUAAUGUGAGGGGUUUACAGAUCCAGAUUAUCAGGUAAUGUGAGGGGUUUACAGAUCCAGAUUAUCGGGUAAUGUGAGGGGUUUACAGAUCCAGAUUAUCAGGUAAUGUGAGGGCUUUACAGAUCCAAUCUUACACCUCCUGGCAGCUCACAGACUGAUCAGGGCCACGCCCCAAUAAUUUUCAAACAUGUUUGAUAUUUAGGAUUUAAAAUCUGG